RNAcentral lists this long non-coding RNA (364 nucleotides) under Trifolium pratense (red clover). RNAcentral's name for it is "long non-coding RNA (TPRA_LNC002264)". The record is from RNAcentral. Lineage: Eukaryota; Viridiplantae; Streptophyta; Magnoliopsida; Fabales; Fabaceae.
UUGAAAAUGUGGUGGGAAAAGUUGUUCCCUCACUCUCACUUGAUUUUACUUAUCCCAGACAUUCACAUGAUAGUCGGGAUAUGUAUUUGAGCCAUCAAAUGUUUUGAUUUGCAAAUAUUGCGUAAACUUGAAAAAUAAAAGAAUGGAUGAGUCAAUAUUGUUAUUACAACAACAUAGUUCCUGUGGUGAAUUAUUCAAGGGAGAGAUACAUAGAAAUCAUUAAGAAUACAAUACAGAUGAGAAAGACUAGGAAUCAACAGUGUCUCAUUGAUCCUUCCCCUUGCCUUUUCCAUCCGAGACUUUUACCCCAUAUGAUGAGAGAAAAAAAGUGCUUUGAUUUUUCUGCAAAAACCUGCAAUAGAUU